ACUAUAGCUUGACACUGAACAUUGAGCCUUGAUGUGUAGGAUAGGUGGGAGGCUUUGAAGUGUGGACGCCAGUCUGCAUGGAGCCGACCUUGAAAUACCACCCUUUAAUGUUUGAUGUUCUAACGUUGACCCGUAAUCCGGGUUGCGGACAGUGUCUGGUGGGUAGUUUGACUGGGGCGGUCUCCUCCUAAAGAGUAACGGAGGAGCACGAAGGUUGGCUAAUCCUGGUCGGACAUCAGGAGGUUAGUGCAAUGGCAUAAGCCAGCUUG
RNAcentral lists this ribosomal RNA (269 nucleotides) under Escherichia coli. Its description in RNAcentral is "partial 23S ribosomal RNA". It matches the Rfam family "Bacterial large subunit ribosomal RNA", at positions 2103 to 2371 of the family's 2925-position model. Lineage: Bacteria; Pseudomonadati; Pseudomonadota; Gammaproteobacteria; Enterobacterales; Enterobacteriaceae. The record is from RNAcentral.